RNAcentral lists this ribosomal RNA (2218 nucleotides) under Candidatus Adlerbacteria bacterium GW2011_GWC1_50_9. Its description in RNAcentral is "bacterial SSU rRNA". The stretch from base 1 to 1301 matches the Rfam family "Bacterial small subunit ribosomal RNA". Lineage: Bacteria; Candidatus Adleribacteriota. The record is from RNAcentral.
UAAUACGCAGGUACGCACCGAAGAGUCGGGCAUAGCCAGCCGAAAGGUUGGGUAAUUCCCGAUAGUCCCUGAGACGCAAGUCGAAGGGUAAAGCGGCAACGCGCUCUUUGAGCGGCCUGCGGGGCAUCAGCUAGACGGUAGGGUAACGGCCUACCGUGGCUACGACGCCUAGGGGAGCUGAGAGGCUGACCCCCACCGAUGGGACUGAGACACGGCCCAUACACCUACGGGUGGCUGCAGUCGAGAAUAUUUGGCAAUGGGCGAAAGCCUGACCAUGCGACGCCGCGUGCUGGACGAAGUCCUUCGGGACGUAAACAGCUUUUAUGCGUGAGGAAGUAAUUGACGUUAGCGCAUGAAUAAGGGGCUCCUAACUCUGUGCCAGCAGGAGCGGUAAUACAGAGGCCCCGAGCAUUAUCCGGAAUCACUGGGCGUAAAGGGUGUGUAGGCGGCCAUGUUAGUCCGUUCGUAAAAGCCCGCGGGCUCAACCCGUGGAAUGCGGCGGAAACGGCACGGCUUUAAGAGGACGCGAGAGGCAAAGGGAACUCAUGGUGUAGGGGUGAAAUCCGUUGAUAUCAUGGGGAACACCAAAUGCGAAGGCACUUUGCUGGCGCGCUCCUGACGCUGAAACACGAAAGCUACGGGAGAGAACGGGAUUAGAUACCCCGGUAUUCGUAGCCCUAAACGAUCACGACUGGCUUUGCGGAGUAUCGACCCUCUGCGAGGCGAAGCUAACGCGUUAAGUCGUGCGCCUGGGUAGUACGAUCGCAAGAUUAAAACUCAAAGGAAUAGACGGGGACUUGCACAAGCGGUGGAUCAUGCGGCUCAAUUCGAUGACAAACGAAGAACCUCACCAGGGUUUGAAACCAAGACGAAAACUUUGGGAAACCAGAGUCCCCGAAAGGCGGCUUGGCAGGUGAUGCAUGGUCGUCGUCAGUUCGUGGUUUGAACUGUUCCCUUCAGUGGGGUAACGAACGCAACCCCUGUUGCCUGUUUUAAAUGUCAGGCGAGACUGCCCCCUCACGGGGGAGGAAGGUGGGGAUGACGCCAGAUCAGCAUCUCCCUCUGAUAUCCUGGGCUGCACGCAUGAUACAAUGCACGCGACAACGCGACGCGACGGAGUAAUCCCGAGCAAAUCGUCAUAAACGCGUGCCCAGUUCGGAUUGAGGGCUGCAACUCGCCCUCAUGAAGCCGGAAUCGCUAGUAAUCGCGGGUCAGCUAUACCGCGGUGAAUACGUUCUCAAGUCUUGUACUCACAAUAAACGCGCACAGCAGCGCGCACUUCUAUGCGGUUAAAAUCCGUACCCUCGAUUUCGUCGUCGAGGCGUAGCAAAAGGGCAAGCAUAUAUCCGUGAGGGUAGUGCCGGAGGGCCCGGACGCAAAAAGCAGCCUCUGCAAACUAAAGGGCGUUCGACCUACCAGUGGGCGGUGAGGGUAGGGAAGAACUAAGAAAAUCCCGCAGUGGAUGUUUGGAACAGAAGUGCUCGUAACCUGUGGAGAUCUGACGCUGUUACCCCGAAAAUCGGGGUAUAAUGAAUCUGACGCAGCGUCAGAAGUCAGCUGGGUCAUAGUAUUCGAAAGAAAAAGGACCCACUCAAUGAAAAAUCUUAGUCCAGAAUAUGUGGUUGGUUUGGUAGAUGGUGAAGGCAGCUUUACCGUCUAUGUCCGAAAUCCGGAUGUAAAGAGCUUUGUCAUUCGGCGAGUAAUGGUAGAACCGAAAUUCUACGUAAAACUCAUCGAGCGCGAUAAAGAAAUUCUCUUUGCAUUGCAGCGGUUUUUCGGAUGCGGGAGCGUGUACUUUCAAAAAGAUACGCGGUCUAAUCACCAAAACUGCUAUCGAUAUGAAGUCUUCCGGUGGGAGAACCUUCAAACUAAAAUCAUUCCGUUCUUCAAGCAAAACAAAUUGAAGUUUGCUUCUAAACAGCACGACUUUGAAAUAUUUUGCGUGAUGAUGGAAAUAUUAUCCAAAAAAGAGCAUCUUACGGAUAAAGGACUUAGACAGUUGUUUAAAUUAAAAAGACAAAUGCAUUGAGCUCGCGCAGUGCGGGAAAUCCGCUUGCUGCGUGGGAACAUCAAUUCUUAAGAUUCUAAGGAGAUAAUCGCCCGUCAAGUCAGGGAAGUCGGGAGUGCCUGAAAGUCAUCUUCGGAUGAACCACGGUAAACUCGAUGACAAGGACUAAGUCGUAACAAGGCACGGGUAGCGGAAGCUGCUCGUGGAACA